This 82-nucleotide transfer RNA is filed under the name Danio rerio (zebrafish). RNAcentral's name for it is "tRNA-Leu (AAG) (tRNA-Leu-AAG-82-1)". It matches the Rfam family "tRNA". Rfam says of the family: Transfer RNA (tRNA) molecules are approximately 80 nucleotides in length. Their secondary structure includes four short double-helical elements and three loops (D, anti-codon, and T loops). Lineage: Eukaryota; Metazoa; Chordata; Actinopteri; Cypriniformes; Danionidae. The record is from Rfam by way of RNAcentral.
GGUAGCGUGGCCGAGUGGUCUAAGGCGCUGGAUUAAGUCUCUAGUCUCUUCGGGGGCGUGGGUUCGAAUCCCACCGCUGCCA